GCGCCUAUAACUCAGCCUGGAUAGAGUACGAAACUUCUAAUUUCGCGGUCGCAGGUUCGAAUCCUGCUAGGCGCGCCA
RNAcentral lists this transfer RNA (78 nucleotides) under Candidatus Asgardarchaeum californiense. Its description in RNAcentral is "tRNA-Arg". It matches the Rfam family "tRNA". Rfam says of the family: Transfer RNA (tRNA) molecules are approximately 80 nucleotides in length. Their secondary structure includes four short double-helical elements and three loops (D, anti-codon, and T loops). The record is from RNAcentral. Lineage: Archaea; Promethearchaeati; Candidatus Asgardarchaeia (ex Tamarit et al. 2024); Candidatus Asgardarchaeales (ex Tamarit et al. 2024); Candidatus Asgardarchaeaceae.